This 613-nucleotide long non-coding RNA is filed under the name Homo sapiens (human). Its description in RNAcentral is "HSALNT0083683". Lineage: Eukaryota; Metazoa; Chordata; Mammalia; Primates; Hominidae. The record is from RNAcentral.
GCCUCUUUGAACAUCUAAAUUUACGACUGACUCUACAGAAGGGAGGCCUCCGCCGCCCUUAUAGCAGCAAUAUUCCCACCUCUUUUUUUUAUUAUUAUUCCUUAAAAGUGCUUAUCAAGAUGAAUGAGCAGAGCAGUGUGUAAUUUCAAAGAUGAAAUUGCUUUUCUCUCCAGAUUUCCCAUCGUGUUUUCAAGGUCACCAUAACAAGGAGUCGGCCGAAUGCCCGGCCUUCUCCGGGCUGUGUCAGGGUCCAUCACGCCUCAUGGGGAUGCAGGGUGGCUUUAGAAGUGUUCUGCUUUAUUUUUCCUCUCAAAAGAGGGUGUGAAAUUCCUGCUCAUUGACACACGGUUGGGUGAAAUUGAAGUGUUGAGGGGACCCCUGCCCUCUGUCCCCAGCACAAUCACCAAGGCCAAGACCACUCAGUGCCCCAAGUCCCAGGGAGGCCCAUCCUCUGUGUCAGCAAGGGAAGCCCGGGUCAUGUCCCAGCGACCAGCCGUAGACAGCAGCAGGGAUGCAGAGAUGAAUAACGUUAGAUUAGGCUCACAGUCAUACCCAAGGUGCGCGUACCUUUGGAAACGAUGCCAUGUGUCUAAUGAGUGUGGACACCACGCCG